UGGGGAAUUUUGGACAAUGGGCGAAAGCCUGAUCCAGCAAUGCCGCGUGUGUGAAGAAGGCCUUCGGGUUGUAAAGCACUUUUGUCCGGAAAGAAAUCCUUGGCUCUAAUACAGUCGGGGGAUGACGGUACCGGAAGAAUAAGCACCGGCUAACUACGUGCCAGCAGCCGCGGUAAUACGUAGGGUGCAAGCGUUAAUCGGAAUUACUGGGCGUAAAGCGUGCGCAGGCGGUUUGCUAAGACCGGUGUGAAAUCCCCGGGCUCAACCUGGGAACUGCAUUGGUGACUGGCAGGCUAGAGUAUGGCAGAGGGGGGUAGAAUUCCACGUGUAGCAGUGAAAUGCGUAGAGAUGUGGAGGAAUACCGAUGGCGAAGGCAGCCCCCUGGGCCAAUACUGACGCUCAUGCACGAAAGCGUGGGGAGCAAACAGGAUUAGAUACCCUGGUAGUCCACGCCCUAAACGAUGUCAACUAGUUGUUGGGGAUUCAUUUCCUUAGUAACGUAGCUAACGCGUGAAGUUGACCGCCUGGGGAGUACGGUCGCAAGAUUAAAACUU
Molecule: ribosomal RNA, 554 nt
Filed under: uncultured bacterium
Lineage: Bacteria
Description: partial 16S ribosomal RNA
Rfam family: Bacterial small subunit ribosomal RNA
Source: RNAcentral